This 340-nucleotide long non-coding RNA is filed under the name Medicago truncatula (barrel medic). Its description in RNAcentral is "long non-coding RNA (MTRU_LNC001215)". Lineage: Eukaryota; Viridiplantae; Streptophyta; Magnoliopsida; Fabales; Fabaceae. The record is from RNAcentral.
GAGUGGUAGCUAUUAACUCUUCAAGAUGAGGUAUAGCUGAAUUACAAUGGAGAUAUCAUAUCCAAGUUCACAAAAAUACCAUUUUCAUUUCAUAUAUACAUUAAAGCAAUAUAACUGAAUUACAAUAAAACUUUAAUUAUCCUUCAAAAAAAAAAUACAACUUCAAUUAAUGGAGGUCUUACGGACUUGUUGAGGGGAUGGAAAAAACUCGGCUGUUGAAAGUCUUGAUACUUAUUGGGGAAUAGGGAUAGAACUUGGUUCGAAAGAUUUGACCUUUGUAAAUUGCAAGGUAGUUGUAUGCAACUAGGCUACAAGGUAACUUUAAUAAACUUAUUUUACA